This 410-nucleotide ribosomal RNA is filed under the name uncultured bacterium. RNAcentral describes it as "bacterial SSU rRNA". It matches the Rfam family "Bacterial small subunit ribosomal RNA", at positions 355 to 762 of the family's 1533-position model. The record is from RNAcentral.
UGAGGAAUAUUGGGCAAUGCCCGAAAGGGUGACCCAGCAACGCCGCGUGGAGGAUGAAGGUCGUAAGAUUGUAAACUCCUGUUAGAGGGGAAGAAUAACUAAGUUUGGAGCUUAGUAUGACUGUACCCUCAGAGAAAGCCCCGGCUAACUACGUGCCAGCAGCCGCGGUAAUACGUAGGGGGCAAGCGUUGUCCGGAUUUACUGGGUGUAAAGGGCGCGCAGGCGGAAUGGAAAGUCAGUGGUGAAAUCCUACAGCUUAACUGUAGAACUGCCUUUGAUACUUUCAUUCUUGAGUUCGGGAGAGAGAGACGGAAUUCCAGGUGUAGUGGUGAAAUACGUAGAUAUCUGGAAGAACACCAGUUGCGAAGGCGGUCUCUUGGUCCGAUACUGACGCUGAGGCGCGAAAGCGU